Erinaceus europaeus (western European hedgehog) is the source of this 107-nucleotide small nuclear RNA. NCBI's taxonomy places the organism in Eukaryota, Metazoa, Chordata, Mammalia, Eulipotyphla, Erinaceidae. The record is from Ensembl.
GUGCUUUCUUCAGCAGCACAUAUAUUAAAAUUGGAAUGAUAGAAAGAAGAUUAGCAUGGCUCCUGCACAAACAUGACACCCAAAUUCGUGAAGUGUUCCAAAUUUUU